This 71-nucleotide transfer RNA is filed under the name Loxodonta africana (African savanna elephant). It matches the Rfam family "tRNA". Rfam says of the family: Transfer RNA (tRNA) molecules are approximately 80 nucleotides in length. Their secondary structure includes four short double-helical elements and three loops (D, anti-codon, and T loops). Lineage: Eukaryota; Metazoa; Chordata; Mammalia; Proboscidea; Elephantidae. The record is from Rfam by way of RNAcentral.
GCAGUGGUGGUUCAGUGCUAGAAUUCUCACCUUCUAUGAGGGAGACCUGGGUUCGAUUCCCCACCAGUGCA